Molecule: ribosomal RNA, 255 nt
Filed under: uncultured bacterium
Lineage: Bacteria
Description: partial 16S ribosomal RNA
Rfam family: Bacterial small subunit ribosomal RNA
Source: RNAcentral
UACGUAGGGGGGCAAGCGUUGUCCGGAAUCAUUGGGCGUAAAGAGCGUGUAGGCGGCCUGGUAAGUCCGCUGUGAAAGUCCAGGGCUCAACCCUGGAAUGCCGGUGGAAACUGUCAGGCUCGAGUCCGGAAGAGGAGAGUGGAAUUCCUGGUGUAGCGGUGAAAUGCGCAGAUAUCAGGAAGAACACCCGUGGCUAAGGCGGCUCUCUAGUACGUGACUGACGCUGAGACGCGAAAAGCGUGGGGAGCGAACAGG